This 564-nucleotide ribosomal RNA is filed under the name uncultured Vibrio sp. Its description in RNAcentral is "bacterial SSU rRNA". It matches the Rfam family "Bacterial small subunit ribosomal RNA", at positions 35 to 578 of the family's 1533-position model. The record is from RNAcentral. Lineage: Bacteria; Pseudomonadati; Pseudomonadota; Gammaproteobacteria; Vibrionales; Vibrionaceae.
GCUGGCGGCAGGCCUAACACAUGCAAGUCGAGCGGAAACGACACUAACAAUCCUUCGGGUGCGUUAAUGGGCGUCGAGCGGCGGACGGGUGAGUAAUGCCUAGGAAAUUGCCUUGAUGUGGGGGAUAACCAUUGGAAACGAUGGCUAAUACCGCAUAAUGCCUACGGGCCAAAGAGGGGGAUCUUCGGACCUCUCGCGUCAAGAUAUGCCUAGGUGGGAUUAGCUAGUUGGUGAGGUAAUGGCUCACCAAGGCGACGAUCCCUAGCUGGUCUGAGAGGAUGAUCAGCCACACUGGAACUGAGACACGGUCCAGACUCCUACGGGAGGCAGCAGUGGGGAAUAUUGCACAAUGGGCGAAAGCCUGAUGCAGCCAUGCCGCGUGUAUGAAGAAGGCCUUCGGGUUGUAAAGUACUUUCAGUUGUGAGGAAGGGGGUAACGUUAAUAGCGUUAUCUCUUGACGUUAGCAACAGAAGAAGCACCGGCUAACUCCGUGCCAGCAGCCGCGGUAAUACGGAGGGUGCGAGCGUUAAUCGGAAUUACUGGGCGUAAAGCGCAUGCAGGUGG